This 148-nucleotide small RNA is filed under the name Macaca fascicularis (crab-eating macaque). RNAcentral describes it as "Metazoan signal recognition particle RNA (ENSMFAG00000055123.1)". The record is from Rfam by way of RNAcentral. Lineage: Eukaryota; Metazoa; Chordata; Mammalia; Primates; Cercopithecidae. RNAcentral also lists the same sequence under 1 other name.
GCUGGGCAUGGUGCUGGGCGCCUGUAAUUCCAGCUACUGGAGAGCCUGAGGCAGGAGAAUCGCUUGAACUCAGGAGGCGGGGGUUGCAGUGAGCUGAGAUCAAGCCACUGCACUCCCCCCUAAGCAACAGAGCAAGACUCUGUCUCAA